CGCCUUGCCAGCCCGCUCAGAAACUCAAAGGAAUUGACGGGGGCCCGCACAAGCGGUGGAGCAUGUGGUUUAAUUCGAUGAUACGCGAGGAACCUUACCUGGGCUCAAAUGUAUGUUGACGUAUUCUGAAAGGGAUACUUCUUCGGACAAUAUACAAGGUGCUGCAUGGUUGUCGUCAGCUCGUGCCGUGAGGUGUCGGGUUAAGUCCCAUAACGAGCGCAACCCCUAUCAUUAGUUGCCAUCAGGUCAAGCUGGGGACUCUAAUGAAACUGCCUACGCAAGUAGUGAGGAAGGUGGGGAUGACGUCAAAUCAGCACGGCCCUUACGUCCAGGGCUACACACGUGUUACAAUGGCCAGUACAGAGGGCAGCCACCCCGCGAGGGGGCGCUAAUCCUAAAAGCUGGUCCCAGUUCGGAUCGGAGUCUGCAACCCGACUCCGUGAAGCUGGAUUCGCUAGUAAUCGCGCAUCAGCCACGGCGCGGUGAAUACGUUCCCGGGCCUU
RNAcentral lists this ribosomal RNA (503 nucleotides) under uncultured Sphingobacteriales bacterium. RNAcentral describes it as "bacterial SSU rRNA". It matches the Rfam family "Bacterial small subunit ribosomal RNA", at positions 903 to 1382 of the family's 1533-position model. Lineage: Bacteria; Pseudomonadati; Bacteroidota; Sphingobacteriia; Sphingobacteriales. The record is from RNAcentral.